GGGCCAAUAGCUCAGUUGGUAGAGCUGCGGACUUUUAAUCCGUCGGUCCCGGGUUCGAGUCCCGGUUGGCCCA
Molecule: transfer RNA, 73 nt
Filed under: Deltaproteobacteria bacterium
Lineage: Bacteria; Pseudomonadati; Myxococcota; Myxococcia
Description: tRNA-Lys
Rfam family: tRNA
About the family: Transfer RNA (tRNA) molecules are approximately 80 nucleotides in length. Their secondary structure includes four short double-helical elements and three loops (D, anti-codon, and T loops).
Source: RNAcentral